Molecule: long non-coding RNA, 1644 nt
Filed under: Aquila chrysaetos chrysaetos
Lineage: Eukaryota; Metazoa; Chordata; Aves; Accipitriformes; Accipitridae
Description: lncRNA (ENSACCG00020009187.1)
Source: RNAcentral
GGAAGUGGUGCCAGGAAUAGCCCGGCAGAUCCGCCUGCAGCCCGGAGCGCUCCCUCCCGCCUCGGCCAGGGCGGGCUGCGGCUCCCGGGCCUCCGCCUCUCUCUCCCCCGUGCAACACCAGCCCCUCCGGCACUGUCAGGGUGACGGUGAUGAUCCUUUCCAAAAAGAGGGAGAGAAAUGACCUGCCUUAAGAUAAAUGCGUGAAGCGGGCGCCCCUUGGCCGCUGGAAUAUCUCUAUCUGUCUUUAUAUAUAAAGAAGCACCGCGAGCCACCUCACUCCAGGCAAGCCCUUAGCAAAGGAGCAACAAGAGCGCCCGGCGGGAUCAGCAACAACAACAACAACAAGGGCACCGGGAGGGCUUCCCUCCUUCCUCCUCGGUGACUUCCCAGUUCUGUCCUAAUAUGCUUACGGAGUCUGAAAAAUGCAACUCUAAUAUACAAGAAAUAUCAGCCUGCACACAAAAAAUUGUAAAGAAUAUCUCUGUUCUUAAAAAUAUCACCCUCUGCAUGGCAGGAAAGAGAAAGACACGUGGGAUAAUGGAGUUCCUUUACGCACACCUCUCCAAAGCUUCAGUGCAGCAUAUUUUCCACAAAUGGAGUGACUAUGAGAGAAACCUUUUAAUUUUCUUUCUCUUUUUCUCUCACAGCCUUAGUAAUUAAAGAAGAAAGCAAGGAUGCUAAAUACGCAUUUUUGGAUGUAUGCUGACUGAGAAUGAGGCCUAGAGGGGAAGAUAAAUAAGAUGGGGAGGGGAGGUUUGAAUGUGACUGACAGUGGAUUUUAAUUGCCUACAAGAAGUUAUUUUUAUCAGACCAAGUCUCCCUCUAACAUUAAGUCCUCAACCUAAAGAAUUUUAGUACUCCAGCCUUUAAAAUCCCUGUCUGGUCGCAAGUUGUACAAGCGUGUCUUGAUGAGUAGCUAAGAUCUGAUAGAAGGCACCGUCUCAGAUACAGUGGUAGCAUCCUCUAACUUCCAUUGUUUGACACCUCCACAGAUAAUUUACACACAGAAUACAAUGCCUUCAUACCUUGCUCAAUGCUUGCAGGUAUUUCUCUUUACAAUUGCUUAUGCACUGUUUUGAUUUAAUUUAGUUGCAGUAUCAUUUGAUUCUGGUCACUAGUUCAACCCAGUUAACUAGCAAGCAGGGGCAUAAAUGAAACCAAUUUUGACUAACUCUUUCUCAGUCAAGUGGGUUGUCUGGCAAGCCAAGAGUGUAAUAAAUAGAUUUUGUGGCUAUUUACAGACUCACACACUAGAAAACCAAGUGCUAUGCUUCCCAGUUUCAUUACAUAAUUCAGACAGUGUCACAUCCAGAUGAUGGGAUUACACCUGUGUUUUUAUCUCAGCCAAAAAUGCAUUUUUUUGGCUCCUGCUUUGAUGUUCUCCCAUAAAAAUAAACAGAUUACACCAGAAAAUUGAGGGGUUUUACCAUAUUGCGUGAAAAAUAUUUAAGCAUGCGUGUAUAGGUAUAUACAUAUACACUUAUGUACAUUUAUGUGAUCAUAGCUUUUACCUCCAGUCAUGUUCUGUCUCCUUCACAGUACAGUAUACCUGGACUGACUUCAUGAGAGCUUGUGGUUGCAGGUCUGGCUUGUUUGUCACUGAGAGGAAGAUUUGUCCUAGAUUCAGUGUAGGUUCAACUGCUG